Molecule: long non-coding RNA, 1826 nt
Filed under: Sus scrofa (pig)
Lineage: Eukaryota; Metazoa; Chordata; Mammalia; Artiodactyla; Suidae
Description: lncRNA (ENSSSCG00005013207.1)
Source: RNAcentral
UUUUUUUUUUUUUUUGGUCUCUUUUUUCUUUUUUUUUAGAGCCACACCCGCAGCAUGUGGAGGUUCCUAGGCUAGGGGUCUGAUCAGAACUGUAGUGGCUGGCCUACACCGCAAUCACAGCAAAGCCAGAUCCGAGCCACAUCUGCGACCUAUACCACAGCUCACGGCAGUGUCAGAUCCUUAACCUACUGGUCAAGCCCAGGGAUCAAAGCUGCGUCCUCAUGGAUGCUAGCCAGAUUCGUUUCCACUGAGCCACGAGGGGAACUCCAUAUAUUAUGUAAACUUUAAAAAAAAAAAAAUGCUACACUUCUUGCACACUGAAGCUGGAACACUAACUGCUUGUAGCCAAGCGGGUAUUGGCUACAUUUCCACUUCAGAAAUUUCACUGACGUGGUUAUAAAUAUCAUGACUGCUCUAGAAAAUUGACUGCUUCGUGGUGGUGACUGAGGGCAAACACAUUUCUAUUUUUUCUGCUUCAGAUUCAGGAAGAGGUUGUCACUAACUUCGGGUUUGCUGUUUUGGUGGAACUGAAUUAAGGGCGCCCGUGUACAUACAUCCGCUCGCACAGCCACGUGUUCAUGGAAAAUGAAACACAUCUCAUCUAUGUCAAUAAUGCCAGUCCCUUUAACAGCUUCUAUUGAGACUCUUGGAAACGAAAAAGGACAUCUUUCACAAAGAGGCUGACAAAUUUCUCUAGGGGCCUUAGCUAAGUGUUCUCGUAAGAAUUGCUGAAACUGUAUACAGUUGGCCCUUCGUAUCCACAAGUUCCGCAUCCAUGGAUUCAAUCAACCUCGGAUAAAAAUUAUGCGGAAAAAAAAUUCCGGACAGUUUCAAAAAGUAAAACUUGAAUUUGUGGUGAAUGUGCAACUGUUUACAUAGCAUUUACACUGCAUUAGGUAUUAUAAGCAACUAAAAGAUGAUCUGAAGUACAAAGAGGAUGUGUGUAGAUUAUAUACAAAUACCAUGUCUUUUUUUUGUGCGUGUGUGUGUCUUUUUGCCUUUUCUAGGGCUGCUCCCUCGGCAUAUGGAGGUUCCCAGAUGCUGCGGGUGUGGCCCUAAAGACCAAAAAAAAAAAAAAAAAAACUGGGCAGGGGAUAUAAAUAGACAUUUUCCCAAAGACAUAUAAAUGGUCAGAAGGCACAAGAUGUUCGACAUCGCUAAUUAUUAGGGAAACACAACUCAAAAAAAGAUAUCACGUCCAACCUGUUGGAAUGGCUAUUAUCAAAAAGAAAAGGAAUAACACAUGUUAGAGACGAUGUGGAGAAAAGAGAAUCCUUGCCUUGUAUAUAGCUGGUAGGAAGGCAAAUUGGUGCCACCAUCACGGAAAACUGUACGGAGGUUCCUAAAAAAAUUAAGAAUAGAACUGCCAUUUGACCCAGCAGUUCCACUUCUGGGUAUCUAUCUGGAGAACAUGAAAACACUAAUUCAAAAAGCUAUGUGCACCCCUAUGUUCACUGCAGCAUUAUUUACAACAGCCAAGAUACAGAAGCAGAGAUGGAUGAAUGGAUAAAUGUGUGGUAUACACACACACACACACACACACACACACACAGAGGAAUACUACACACAGUCACAAAAAAUCUUGCUACUUGUGACAACAUAAAUUGACCUUGAAGUUAUUAUACCAAGUGAAAUACGUUAGAUGGAGAAAGACAAACAAUGAAUGAUUUUACUCAUUUGUGGAAUCAAAACAAAAUGAAACAAAUGAACAAACAAAAUAAAACAAACUCACAGAUACAGAGAUCAGAUCACUGGUUACUAGGGGAGGAGGGGGUUGGGGUGAGUGAAAUGAGUAAAAGGGUCAGAUGUGGGGAUGGUCACUAGCC